RNAcentral lists this ribosomal RNA (397 nucleotides) under uncultured bacterium. RNAcentral's name for it is "partial 16S ribosomal RNA". It matches the Rfam family "Bacterial small subunit ribosomal RNA", at positions 523 to 918 of the family's 1533-position model. The record is from RNAcentral.
AUACGUAGGUGGCAAGCGUUGUCCGGAUUUAUUGGGCGUAAAGCGAGCGCAGGCGGUUUCUUAAGUCUGAUGUGAAAGCCCCCGGCUCAACCGGGGAGGGUCAUUGGAAACUGGGAGACUUGAGUGCAGAAGAGGAGAGUGGAAUUCCAUGUGUAGCGGUGAAAUGCGUAGAUAUAUGGAGGAACACCAGUGGCGAAGGCGGCUCUCUGGUCUGCAACUGACGCUGAGGCUCGAAAGCGUGGGGAGCAAACAGGAUUAGAUACCCUGGUAGUCCACGCCGUAAACGAUGAGUGCUAAGUGUUGGAGGGUUUCCGCCCUUCAGUGCUGCAGCAAACGCAUUAAGCACUCCGCCUGGGGAGUACGACCGCAAGGUUGAAACUCAAAUGAAUUGACGGGG